This 800-nucleotide long non-coding RNA is filed under the name Drosophila guanche. Lineage: Eukaryota; Metazoa; Arthropoda; Insecta; Diptera; Drosophilidae. The record is from RNAcentral.
UCCGGAUAGCGAAUAGAUAGCACUAGCUGAAUGGUGGGGAAAUUGCUCUUAAAGUAAGACGAGUUCGGGUAUUAGUAGUACCGCUGUACCUUUUCCGCUAAAAGACAUUUCAGAUAGUUAAGGCUCUGCUCGUGAUCAUUCGUUAUGGUAUAUUACGCAGAAACUUCUAUUAUCUUUACACAGAAGUUCUCACAAUAGUUCUCACAUUGAGCACACCUCGAUGCGCGUUCUGGAAAUGUAAAUGUAAGUCAUUUACUGCCGAAACCAUUAUGUAGUCUUGAGACAUUCAUAUACGUUGUAUGUUUUAUGGAGCACAACGUGGAGGAUAUCAAACUGUAUCUACAAGUCCAAUUUAAUUAUAGGCCACGCAAGGCUCAUCAAAGUUUCUGCAGCGACUGUUGCAGGUGCAAAUGCAGAACCUUCCUUCCUUCUGACCAGUCGCCGGUCGCCAGUCGUCAGCGAUCCGAGAGCUCAUUUUCGGUUCCACAUUAUUAUUAUCUACGCUUUGAGCCGCGCUGAGUCCGGUUCGGGUUCGGGUUCGGGUUCGGUUUGGGACAGCCGACUACGCGGACCGCUCUACAAUUCAUUUGCAAAGCGUAUCCAAAAAUGUUGAUGGGAUUAUUACAUGUUGUUGAUCUCGAGCGAGCGAGCGAGCGAGCGACUGGGGACUGUGACUAGGGACUGGGGACUGCGGCUGCAGGUGGAAUCUCUCAAUGGCCGGGCAGGUCUUUAUCUUUUUAAUGUUGUGGAUUGCUUUGUGUUUCUUUUACCCCUGCUUGUUGUUUUUCUUUUUUGGUUUU